GACGAACGCUGGCGGCGUGCCUAACACAUGCAAGUCGAACGGGACUCUUUGGAUCGAGGCUUCGGCCAAGUGAAUCUGAGUUUAGUGGCGAACGGGUGAGUAACGCGUGAGUAACCUGCCUUUCAGAGGGGGACAACAGUUGGAAACGACUGCUAAUACCGCAUGAUGCAUUCGAGGGGCAUCCCUUGAAUGCCAAAGAUUUAUCGCUGAAAGAUGGACUCGCGUCUGAUUAGCUAGUUGGUGAGGUAACGGCCCACCAAGGCAACGAUUGGUAGCCGGACUGAGAGGUUGAACGGCCACAUUGGGACUGAGACACGGCCCAG
This 323-nucleotide ribosomal RNA is filed under the name uncultured bacterium. RNAcentral describes it as "bacterial SSU rRNA". It matches the Rfam family "Bacterial small subunit ribosomal RNA", at positions 28 to 334 of the family's 1533-position model. The record is from RNAcentral.